UUGACCUCGGAUCAGGUAGGGAUACCCGCUGAACUUAAGCAUAUCAAUAAGCGGAGGAAAAGAAACCAACCGGGAUUGCCUCAGUAACGGCGAGUGAAGCGGCAAGAGCUCAAAUUUGAAAGCUGGCCCCUUCGGGGUCCGCGUUGUAAUUUGCAGAGGAUGCUUCGGGUGCGGCCCCUGUCUAAGUGCCCUGGAACGGGCCGUCAGAGAGGGUGAGAAUCCCGUCUUGGGCAGGGUGCCCGUGCCCGUGUGAAGCUCCUUCGACGAGUCGAGUUGUUUGGGAAUGCAGCUCUAAAUGGGUGGUAAAUUUCAUCUAAAGCUAAAUACCGGCCGGAGACCGAUAGCGCACAAGUAGAGUGAUCGAAAGAUGAAAAGCACUUUGAAAAGAGAGUUAAACAGCACGUGAAAUUGUUGAAAGGGAAGCGCUUGCGACCAGACUCGGCCCCGGGGUUCAGCCAGCACUCGUGCUGGUGUACUUCCCCGGGGGCGGGCCAUCGUCGGUUUGGGCGGCCGGUCAAAGGCCCCAGGAAUGUAUCGCCCUCCGGGGUUGUCUUAUAGCCUGGGGUGCAAUGCGGCCAGCCCGGACCGAGGAACGCGCUUCGGCACGGACGCUGGCGUAAUGGUCGCAAACGACC
RNAcentral lists this ribosomal RNA (635 nucleotides) under Aspergillus violaceus. Its description in RNAcentral is "eukaryotic LSU rRNA". It matches the Rfam family "Eukaryotic large subunit ribosomal RNA", at positions 1 to 649 of the family's 3401-position model. The record is from RNAcentral. Lineage: Eukaryota; Fungi; Ascomycota; Eurotiomycetes; Eurotiales; Aspergillaceae.